This 366-nucleotide transfer-messenger RNA is filed under the name Vibrionaceae. RNAcentral describes it as "Enterovibrio norvegicus_A Standard tmRNA". It matches the Rfam family "transfer-messenger RNA". From Rfam's summary of the family: Bacterial tmRNA, also known as 10Sa RNA or SsrA, is named for its dual tRNA and mRNA-like properties. Its role is to liberate the mRNA from a stalled ribosome. To accomplish this part of the tmRNA is used as a reading frame that ends in a translation stop signal. Lineage: Bacteria; Pseudomonadati; Pseudomonadota; Gammaproteobacteria; Vibrionales. The record is from RNAcentral. RNAcentral also lists the same sequence under 2 other names.
GGGGCUGAUUCAGGAUUCGACAGGAUCAAGAAGGCUCGUGGAGCAUGCCGAGGGGCGGUUUGCCUCGUUAAAAGCCGCAAAACUAUAGUCGCAAACGACGAAAACUACGCACUAGCAGCUUAAUAACCUGCUAGAGCCUGCCCUCCAUAGCCUCUGUCUGUAGGACGUGGGUCAAGGGCAGUCAAACCCAAACAGAAUCGCGUGGAGGCUUACACCUAAUAGCCAAAGCGUUAAAACUAAAUUAGGUAUGUCAUUACAUAGCGUGUCUAUUCGCAGUGUGGUGCCGAGAAUAAAGAUAGACUAAGCAUGUAGCGCCAUUAGUUAGACUGAUUUUGGACGCGGGUUCAACUCCCGCCAGCUCCACCA